Molecule: long non-coding RNA, 694 nt
Filed under: Salmo salar (Atlantic salmon)
Lineage: Eukaryota; Metazoa; Chordata; Actinopteri; Salmoniformes; Salmonidae
Description: lncRNA (ENSSSAG00000103059.1)
Source: RNAcentral
GAACUACUGUAACAGUUCAGUGUGUUAUAGUGUCUCUAGGAGGUGAACUACUGUAACAGUUCAGUGUGUUAUAGUGUCUCUAGGAGGUGAACAACUGUAAUAGUUCAUUGUGUUAUAGUGUCACCAUCCAGGAGGUGAACUACUGAAAAGUUCAGUGUGUUAUAGUGUCACUAGCAUGUGAACUACUGUAACAGUUAAGUGUGUAAUAGUGUCACCAUCCAGGAGGUGAACUACUGUAACAGUUAAGUGUGUAAUAGUGUCACCAUCCAGGAGGUGAACUACUACAACAGUUCAGUGUGUUAUAGUGUCUCACUCUACGUGGUGAACUACUGUAACAGUACAGUGUGUUAUAGUGUCACUAGGAGGUGAACUACUGUAACAGUUCAGUGUGUUUUAGUGAGUUUGUUAUAGUGUCACUAUCUAGGAGGUGAACUACUGUAACAGUUCAGUGUGAUAUAGUGUCACUGGGAGGUGAACUACUUUAACAGUUCAGUGUGUUUUAGUGUCACUAGGAGUAGAAAUACUGUAACAGUUCAGUGUGUUAUAGUGUCUCUAGGAGGUGAACUACUGUAACAGUUCAGUGAGUUAUAGUGUCACUAGGAGUAGAAAUACUGUAACAGUUCAGUUUGUUAUAGUGUCUCAAUGAGGUCAACAACUGUAACAGUUCAGUGUGUUUUUGUGUCACUAGGAGGUG